RNAcentral lists this transfer RNA (88 nucleotides) under Bacteroidia bacterium. RNAcentral's name for it is "tRNA-Leu". It matches the Rfam family "tRNA". Rfam says of the family: Transfer RNA (tRNA) molecules are approximately 80 nucleotides in length. Their secondary structure includes four short double-helical elements and three loops (D, anti-codon, and T loops). Further hydrogen bonds mediate the characteristic L-shaped molecular structure. tRNAs have two regions of fundamental functional importance: the anti-codon, which is responsible for specific mRNA codon recognition, and the 3' end, to which the tRNAs corresponding amino acid is attached (by aminoacyl-tRNA synthetases). tRNAs cope with the degeneracy of the genetic code in two manners: having more than one tRNA (with a specific anti-codon) for a particular amino acid; and 'wobble' base-pairing, i.e. permitting non-standard base-pairing at the 3rd anti-codon position. Lineage: Bacteria; Pseudomonadati; Bacteroidota; Bacteroidia. The record is from RNAcentral.
GCCCGGGUGGUGGAAUUGGUAGACACGAAGGACUUAAAAUCCUUUGGCCAUUGCGGCCGUGCGGGUUCAAUUCCCGCUCCGGGUACUA